GACAGAGGUGCCGAGCGUUAGGCGGAAUCACUGGGCUUAAAGCGUGUGUAGGCGGAUCUGUAAGUACCUUGUGAAAUCCCACGGCUCAACCGUGGAACUGCUUGGUAUACUGCGGGUCUUGAGCCACCUAGGGGCAAGUGGAACAAACGGUGGAGCGGUGAAAUGCGUAGAGAUGCGGAGGAACACCGAUGGCGAAGGCAGCCCCCUGGGCUAACACUGACGCUCAGGCACGAAAGCGUGGGGAGCAAACAGG
RNAcentral lists this ribosomal RNA (253 nucleotides) under uncultured bacterium. Its description in RNAcentral is "partial 16S ribosomal RNA". It matches the Rfam family "Bacterial small subunit ribosomal RNA", at positions 524 to 776 of the family's 1533-position model. The record is from RNAcentral.